This is a long non-coding RNA of Daphnia pulicaria, 714 nucleotides long. RefSeq lists it as uncharacterized. NCBI's taxonomy places the organism in Eukaryota, Metazoa, Arthropoda, Branchiopoda, Diplostraca, Daphniidae. The record is from RefSeq and is a predicted model, not a curated record. The transcript is spliced from 5 exons.
GAUUAAUUUUGUGACUUUUGUGACUAUCUAAAGGAGAAAACGUAGGCUACCGUCGACUAUUUUUUUCAAUAUGUGCCAUCGAAAUGACGCAGGAUUCAUAAUAAUUAUCUGCUGUAAGAAUUGGACUUGCUAGAUCACCAACCCUAUCACGGACCAAUCUCUCAUUCCAUCUUCUAGAGAACCUUGGCUAACUGUUUGGUGGUUUCAUGUGUUUGAAACUAUUGGUUUCUAAAUGUGCAUGACAGACUUUAAGAAAAGUCAUGUUGAAGAAAAAGGACUGUCUACAGUCAUUGUUUGGUAACCCGUUGGCUGCUACCCUUGUUAUCCGUUACUUCCUUAAGCAGGCCUUCUUGAUUUGAGGGUAACUCCUCUGCUACUUAUCAUGGACUUCAUCCAUUGGUGAAAAAAGAUAAGAGAAAGCUGUAAUUCAGAUGUCUAAGCCGGAAGCCUACUAUGAUUAAUCGCUCUCGUAAUAACUGUUCAACUCUUCGCUCUUUUUCCGGUUUCUCUUAACCAUUGGCCAGGUAGUCAAUUAAGGCAGUGUCUUCCCCUGGCUUGAUUGUGUGUGAGUUUCAAAAACAGUUUAUCACCCAAAUGACAAAAGGAGUCGGUUAGGUUUGUUUUAUAUGGGUAUAAACUGCUUUAAAAUUUGCACAGAACAACAUUUGUCUUGUACCGGACGUUUUGUUUAUUAAAUUUCAAUCAUUUUGGCUU